AGUUAAUGUUGGAUGYACAAAAGUGAGUUCCUGUGUUGCAUACCUAUUGCGACGGAAGUUUGUGCCUUUAGCRGUCCCUUCRAUCAGAGCAUCCGAAAGGAUGCUCGAUUGGACCAGAUGGUCGGCCUUGUGCUCCAUGAACGUUAUCUCAUUGGAUCGUUCGUGUGGAUCAYGAGUGCCUACUUGUCCUCYCGGAUGCGGAACCCUUUUCAUGGGUAUUGUGGUCAUUGGCCCUUGUUCCCAAAAUCAUAAAGCGCUCGUCGCUUUUUACUGGAACGAYGCUCUUGCCUUGUCCUUGACCAAGUGGAGCUCUCGGGCUUCAUGAURRAUCAUGCUGGGYGGACGUCGYGAAGGAAUGC
RNAcentral lists this unclassified non-coding RNA (359 nucleotides) under Melaleuca citrina. Its description in RNAcentral is "partial external transcribed spacer". Lineage: Eukaryota; Viridiplantae; Streptophyta; Magnoliopsida; Myrtales; Myrtaceae. The record is from RNAcentral.